GAUGAACGCUGGCGGCGUGCCUAAUACAUGCAAGUCGAGCGAACAGACGAGGAGCUUGCUCCUCUGACGUUAGCGGCGGAUGGGUGAGUAACACGUGGAUAACCUACCUAUAAGACUGGGAUAACUUCGGGAAACCGGAGCUAAUACCGGAUAAUAUAUUGAACCGCAUGGUUCAAUAGUGAAAGACGGUUUUGCUGUCACUUAUAGAUGGAUCCGCGCCGCAUUAGCUAGUUGGUAAGGUAACGGCUUACCAAGGCAACGAAGCGUAGCCGACCUGAGAGGGUGAUAGGCCACACUGGAACUGGACCACGGUCCAGACUCCUACGGGAGGCAGCAGUAGGGAAUCUUCCGCAAUGGGCGAAAGCCUGACGGAGCAACGCCGCGUGAGUGAUGAAGGUCUUCGGAUCGUAAAACUCUGUUAUGAGGGAAGAACAAAUGUGUAAGUAACUAUGCACGUCUUGACGGUACCUAAUCAGAAAGCCACGGCUAACUACGUG
This 497-nucleotide ribosomal RNA is filed under the name uncultured bacterium. RNAcentral's name for it is "partial 16S ribosomal RNA". It matches the Rfam family "Bacterial small subunit ribosomal RNA", at positions 28 to 507 of the family's 1533-position model. The record is from RNAcentral.